GGCAGGAGAGUCUAAUUGGAUUGUGACUCGAAUAAGGAGUCCCACUGAGACUGGGACUGUGGAGGUGAGUCCCACUGAAUUGGGAUUCUACUAUUAAUAAAAAAUUAAUUAGUAAUUAAAUUAUUAAUAAAUUCAAUUUGAUUGAGUAAAGAGCUUUGGAUCAAGUCUAAUUGAAUUAGAUUCAGUUUGAUUUAGAUUGGGUU
Molecule: long non-coding RNA, 203 nt
Filed under: Elaeis guineensis (African oil palm)
Lineage: Eukaryota; Viridiplantae; Streptophyta; Magnoliopsida; Arecales; Arecaceae
Description: long non-coding RNA (EGUI_LNC070263)
Source: RNAcentral